AUUGAACGCUGGCGGAAUGCUUUACACAUGCAAGUCGAACGGCAGCACGGGGCAACCUGGUGGCGAGUGGCGAACGGGUGAGUAAUACAUCGGAACGUGCCCAAUCGUGGGGGAUAACGUAGCGAAAGUUACGCUAAUACCGCAUACGAUCUACGGAUGAAAGCGGGGGAUCGCAAGACCUCGCGCGAGUGGAGCGGCCGAUGUCAGAUUAGGUAGUUGGUGGGGUAAAGGCUCACCAAGCCAACGAUCUGUAGCUGGUCUGAGAGGACGACCAGCCACACUGGAACUGAGACACGGUCCAGACUCCUACGGGAGGCAGCAGUGGGGAAUUUUGGACAAUGGGCGCAAGCCUGAUCCAGCCAUUCCGCGUGCAGGAUGAAAGGCCUUCGGGUUGUAAACUGCUUUGUUACGGAACGAAACGGCGAGCUCUAAUACAGUUUGCUAAUGACGGUACCGUAAGAAUAAGCACCGGCUAACUACGUGCCAGCAGCCGCGGUAAU
Molecule: ribosomal RNA, 500 nt
Filed under: uncultured bacterium
Lineage: Bacteria
Description: bacterial SSU rRNA
Rfam family: Bacterial small subunit ribosomal RNA
Source: RNAcentral